UAGGGAAUCUUCCACAAUGGACGCAAGUCUGAUGGAGCAACGCCGCGUGAGUGAAGAAGGUCUUCGGAUCGUAAAACUCUGUUGUUAGAGAAGAACACGAGUGAGAGUAACUGUUCAUUCGAUGACGGUAUCUAACCAGAAAGCCACGGCUAACUACGUGCCAG
This 164-nucleotide ribosomal RNA is filed under the name uncultured bacterium. Its description in RNAcentral is "partial 16S rRNA". It matches the Rfam family "Bacterial small subunit ribosomal RNA", at positions 355 to 511 of the family's 1533-position model. The record is from RNAcentral.